This is a transfer RNA of Clostridium sp. 7_2_43FAA, 74 nucleotides long. It matches the Rfam family "tRNA". Rfam says of the family: Transfer RNA (tRNA) molecules are approximately 80 nucleotides in length. Their secondary structure includes four short double-helical elements and three loops (D, anti-codon, and T loops). Lineage: Bacteria; Bacillati; Bacillota; Clostridia; Eubacteriales; Clostridiaceae. The record is from Rfam.
GGGUCUAUAGCUCAGUUGGUUAGAGCGCACGCCUGAUAAGCGUGAGGUCGAUGGUUCGAGUCCAUUUAGACCCA